ACGCUCGACACCUACGGGAGGGCAGCAGUGAGGAAUAUUGGUCAAUGGACGCAAGUCUGAACCAGCCAUGCCGCGUGCAGGAUGACGGCUCUAUGAGUUGUAAACUGCUUUUGUACGAGGGUAAACGCAGAUACGUGUAUCUGUCUGAAAGUAUCGUACGAAUAAGGAUCGGCUAACUCCGUGCCAGAAGCCGCCGGUAAGUACUGAGCGGGCGUGGCGAAGGACG
This 226-nucleotide ribosomal RNA is filed under the name uncultured bacterium. RNAcentral describes it as "partial 16S ribosomal RNA". It matches the Rfam family "Bacterial small subunit ribosomal RNA", at positions 328 to 544 of the family's 1533-position model. The record is from RNAcentral.